UACAGGGGGGGCAAGCGUUGUUCGGAAUUACUGGGCGUAAAGGGCUUGUAGGUGGCCAACUAAGUCACACGUGAAAUCCCCAGGCUUAACCUGGGAACUGCGUGUGAUACUGGAUGGCUUGAAUCCGGGAGAGGGAUGCGGAAUUCCAGGUGUAGCGGUGAAAUGCGUAGAUAUCUGGAGGAACACCGAUGGCGAAGGCGGCAUCCUGGACCGGUAUUGACACUGAAAAGCGAAAGCCAGGGGAGCAAACGGG
This 253-nucleotide ribosomal RNA is filed under the name uncultured bacterium. RNAcentral describes it as "partial 16S ribosomal RNA". It matches the Rfam family "Bacterial small subunit ribosomal RNA", at positions 524 to 776 of the family's 1533-position model. The record is from RNAcentral.